Long non-coding RNA from Ictalurus punctatus (channel catfish), 1189 nucleotides. The record is from Ensembl. Lineage: Eukaryota; Metazoa; Chordata; Actinopteri; Siluriformes; Ictaluridae.
GUGCGCGUGUGUGUGUGUGUGUGUGUGUGUGUGAAGGCGAGAAUAAGGAUGGCAGGAGAUCUGUGAGUGCGAGCAUGCGCAUAUCUUAGUGUGUGUGUGUGAGUGGCUGGAGAGAGUGAGAGAAAGCGUGAGUAAUUCCAUGCUUUGGCUCCCUGAGAGCCUGUAGAUGCUCUCACAGCAGUGGUCUGAACACAUACACACACACACACACACACACACGCACACACACACACACACACACACACACAAAUCGUAGACAUGUCGUCAUUGCCACGGUGCCGCAACGCCUGCAGCUGAUGAUGAUGGUGUGAGAGGGUUGAAAAAGAAGAGGGGACGCUACAACCUUGGAGGGUGUACAUUACACAGUUCUCUCCUGAUCCCAUCAUUAGGAGACAGGACCAACCCUUCCAUCUCCUCUACCCAAAUAGACGCCUAUGAUAACCGCUUCUGCUUGAGCUAUCAGUUGAAUUUGAUCAGGCUCCAUGUGUGCACAAUAUUUGUGACUGGUUUUAAUUAUUACCCGGGCUGUUUAUAAAAUAUGUAUAAAAUAUGUCCAUAUUAAUAAUGCAUUAAAGCUGCAUGGUGCUGCAGGGGGAAGUAUUGCCGUCUCACAGCUCCACGGUCCCUGGUUCGAGCCUGAGCUUGGGAGUUAUGCAUGUUUGCCACGUGUCCGUGUGGGUUUCCUCCAGACUUUCCGGUUUCCUCCACCUCCUAAAAACAUGCUUAAAACGAUUGCCUACCCUGACCAGGAUAAAGUGUUACUGUAGAUGAAUGAAUAAAAAGCUUCAUGCACAAUACAGCAGCUCUGAAGAGGGAUGAUUGGGAUGUUCUAUAUAAAACAGUAGAUCUUCUGUAGAAAGUACAAACAUGCCCUGUAAACCAGGCACUCCAGGAUUUUUCGAUCGCAGAAAUGAAUGCAAAAUCGAGGAAACUCUGGAAUAUUUGGAGGAGCUUGCCAUUUUUCAAAAUUACUGCAAAUUUUCUACAGAUUUGGGCCAAGACGCGUCAUGUGACGUCAUCACAACAUGCAUUCAGCCAAAGCCGUCUUUGAUUCAUGUGUGUCGAACAUGAGUAUAGCUGAGGGGUCUCAUUUAACAACAAACUUCACUGUUAAAGACCAUGCAAAUCUAUUUUGGGCAUUUCAAUUGCGCCAAUUCAAGUAGUUUUCUGCAAAAACGCACAAAAAAAC